UAUUUUCAGAAGUUUAAAAACGCUAUUUUAAAAUUAGUAGGACUCUUAUUACGAGCACCUAUAUAUACCCAUUAACCCUAAAUAUUUAAUGUGCCGUUUUGUUUUAGUUUGUUUCUUCCGCCUUCUUGUCUCCGUAUUCUGUUUGGAGACUUUGAAAAAUCAAGUUUGAUAUUUGUUUCCAAUAUCACAUUAUGUUAUCCAUGUAAAACCCACUAUUCCUCUUUAUCAAACCAAUUUGGUUUUCUAUUGUUAAUCAUCUCAAUUCCUUCGUGUUUUUGUCAAGACCAUAUUUAGUUAUUUUUUGUCAAAAUUUAGAAUCCACUACCGUUAUUAGUACCUGAUCAGUCGCGCUAGUUAUCGCAUGAUGAUGUAUUGUGAAAUUGUGAUAUUGGUACUAUCAUCUCGGAAGUCAAUAUUAACUGGAGCAGAUUGAUCGUGAAAGAUCGCAAUUCAAGAUGAAGGAGCUCAAAUGUUAUCGUAUAGUCUUUUAUGACAGUUUAAUACUUUUCAGUUGUAAAUAGACCACCUAGUAAUCAAGUUGUAAUAGUUUAAGUUUUGUAAGCCUUAGCACUUGACAAUGUGGUCAAGUGUGGCGGUGAUGCCUCCGAUUUAGGUGUAAGCUUCCGCAAAUUUAUUAUAAAGUCUUUUAUAUUCUUAUU
Spinacia oleracea (spinach) is the source of this 659-nucleotide long non-coding RNA. RefSeq lists it as uncharacterized. NCBI's taxonomy places the organism in Eukaryota, Viridiplantae, Streptophyta, Magnoliopsida, Caryophyllales, Amaranthaceae. The transcript is spliced from 2 exons. The record is from RefSeq and is a predicted model, not a curated record.